GUGUGCAACUGAUGAGUCUUAUGUAUAGAAAUUGUACGUCUGGCGAACCAAAUUAGAAGCUAGAUAUCUAAGAUGAUAAACAACCUCUGGGUCGAUGCAACUGUUGAUGGGUGUUUCAUCCUUUAAGUUUUCACCAACCAAGUAAUCACCACUUUUGUGUAGACAUAAUAUAUCAUUGACAAAUUCUUUUUAUUUUGUAAAUUUUACUUUUAAAAAACGUUUAAUUACUUUAACUCCGGGAAAACACUGUCUUAGCCAUAUUUGGGACUUUUUUUUUUAAUAUUCUUUAAUUCUCUUCAACAUUAUAUUUCAUCUGCUCGUUUUAAACUGUAAAGGGUAUGUGCAUAUAGAAAAAUGAAUUUUAUGUAUAGUAUCUUUGAUUAGUUUUCUACCACAUACAUAUGUUGAUAUAUACACAGAAACAAACAUUUGUUGAUAUAUACACAGAAAGAAA
RNAcentral lists this long non-coding RNA (454 nucleotides) under Mytilus galloprovincialis (Mediterranean mussel). The record is from RNAcentral. Lineage: Eukaryota; Metazoa; Mollusca; Bivalvia; Mytilida; Mytilidae.